GCUUUAAUAGUCUAAAGGUCAAGACGUUUUUUUUUCAAAAAAAAAAUAGGAAUUCGAGUUUCCUUUAAAGAA
Transfer RNA from Theileria orientalis strain Shintoku, 72 nucleotides. It matches the Rfam family "tRNA". From Rfam's summary of the family: Transfer RNA (tRNA) molecules are approximately 80 nucleotides in length. Their secondary structure includes four short double-helical elements and three loops (D, anti-codon, and T loops). The record is from Rfam. Lineage: Eukaryota; Apicomplexa; Aconoidasida; Piroplasmida; Theileriidae.